GACGAACGCUGGCGGCGUGCUUAACACAUGCAAGUCGAACGAGAAAGGCUCUUCGGAGCUGAGUACAGUGGCGAACGGGUGAGUAACACGUGGGCAACCUGCCCUAGGGAGCGGGACAACCCGAGGAAACUCGGGCUAAUACCGCAUGAUUCGUACGGUCUCAAGUCCGUACGGGAAAUGGUAGCUUCGGCCUCCGCCCU
RNAcentral lists this ribosomal RNA (200 nucleotides) under uncultured bacterium. Its description in RNAcentral is "partial 16S ribosomal RNA". It matches the Rfam family "Bacterial small subunit ribosomal RNA", at positions 28 to 221 of the family's 1533-position model. The record is from RNAcentral.